CGCUGGCGGCGUGCCUAACACAUGCAAGUCGAACGGGAAGCUGAUUUCGAUCAGCUGAGAGUGGCGAACGGGUGAGUAACACGUAGCUAACCUGCCUUCAAGACGAGGAUAACUAUUGGAAACAGUAGCUAAUACUCGAUAAGCUCACGGUUUGUAGAUGACUGUGAGAAAAGCUCAGGCGCUUGAAGAUGGGGCUGCGAGCCAUCAGCUAGUUGGUGAGGUAAAAGCUCACCAAGGCGACGACGGCUAGGGGACCUGAGAGGGUGACCCCCCACACUGGAACUGAGACACGGUCCAGACUUCUACGGAAGGCAGCAGUGAGGAAUAUUGCACAAUGGGCGCAAGCCUGAUGCAGCGACGCCGCGUGGGUGAAGACGGUUUUCGGACUGUAAAGCCCUUUUCUAGGUGACGAGAGUGGACGGUAGCCUAGGAAUAAGUCUCGGCUAACUACGUGCCAGCAGCCGCGGUAAAACGUAGGAGGCGAGCGUUAUCCGGAGUUACUGGGCGUAAAGCGCGUGCAGGCGGAUCGGUAAGUUACUCAUGAAAGCUCCUGGCUAAACCGGGAGAGGUUGAGUAAAACUGCCAGUCUAGAGUGGAUGAGAGGUAGGUAGAAUUCCUUGUGUAGUGGUGAAAUGCGUAGAUAUAAGAAGAAUACCGGUGGCGAAGCGACCUACUGGCAUCCAACUGACGCUCAGACGCGAAAGC
RNAcentral lists this ribosomal RNA (705 nucleotides) under uncultured bacterium. RNAcentral describes it as "bacterial SSU rRNA". It matches the Rfam family "Bacterial small subunit ribosomal RNA", at positions 34 to 760 of the family's 1533-position model. The record is from RNAcentral.